GGCAGCCCCCAUCAGUACCACAUACAGGCUGCCCCCAUCGGGACCACAUACAGGCCGCCCCCAUCGGGACCACAUACAGGCCGCCCCCAUCGGGACCACAUACAGGCCGCCCCCAUCGGGACCACAUACAGGCUGUCCCCAUCGGGACCACAUACAGACCGCCACAAUCAGGACCACAUACAGGCCGCCCCCAUCGGUACCACAUACAGGCAGCCACCAUCAGUACCACAUACAGACAGCCCCCAUCAGUACCACAUACAGGCAGCCCCCAUUAGUACCACAUACAGGUCCCCCAUCAGUACCACAUACAGGCUGCCCCCAUCGGGACCACAUACAGGCCGCCCCCAUCGGGACCACAUACAGGCCGCCCCCAUCGGGACCACAUACAGACCGCCACAAUCAGGACCACAUACAGGCCGCCCCCAUCGGUACCACAUACAGGCAGCCACCAUCAGUACCACAUACAGACAGCCCCCAUCAGUACCACAUACAGGCAGCCCCCAUUAGUACCACAUACAGGUCCCCCAUCAGUACCACAUACAGGCAGCCACCAUCA
Molecule: long non-coding RNA, 556 nt
Organism: Haliotis rufescens (red abalone)
Lineage: Eukaryota; Metazoa; Mollusca; Gastropoda; Lepetellida; Haliotidae
Exons: 4
Source: RefSeq, a predicted model, not a curated record